UGUUGCAUUAUUCCAAAUAAAUAGAUUAUUAUCCAUAAAUAAAUGUAACGAGAUUCACAAAAAUAUAUCAAAUUCACAAAUAAAUGUAAAGAGUUUCACAAAAAAAUAUAAAACGCACAAAUAAAUAAAAUGAGAUUUGCAAAUAAAAAAAUAUAUAUUUACAAAUGUGUUUAAUGUCACAAACACAACUCUACCUGGCAUUUAUUUGUGCACCGCUGUCUGUGCAUUUGUAAAUUACUGCACGCAUUUGUGGAUCGCUUCCUGUGCAUUUGUGGAUUUGAAACACUUCUAGCGUCGACGUGCAGAUAAAUCCACAAAUAAGUGGACUCCACCCACCGUCUACUUAACCCAAUCAGACAACGCCCAUGUUGCACUGACCAAUCGCAGCACGCUCUCUCUCCAACCAAUCACGUUUUGCCUAACAACCAGGGCGGGAUCAGACACAUGAACGCGAGUCACUCGCUACAGUCUCUUCAACAUGGCCGAUCAAGAGGAGUAAAGACAGGACAGUGAGGCAGCAAAUGACAGACUAAUCCACUUUCUGAAGCUUGGAUUACCCCAGGAAAACAUCAGUAACAUUUUAGGUGUCACUCAUACAACUAUCGUUCGUUGGAUGAGAGAAUGUGUUUGGCCAGAGAGAGAAUCCAAUAAUUAACCCUGAGAUGGAAUAUUCAGACUCAAUGGCAGUUGAACAAGAUGGUGGAGAUGCUGACCAUGUUCACUUUGCAGUCAACGUGCCUGUAAUUCACAGGCCACAACUCACAAAUGAGCAAAUUGACCCACUGCAAGUGUCUGAUUCAUUUGGAGUAGAUGUAUACCUCAAGACUCUCACAUAUGUACAGACUUUGAUUGAAUAAAGGGAUAUUUGAAGGUU
Molecule: long non-coding RNA, 874 nt
Organism: Carassius gibelio (silver crucian carp)
Lineage: Eukaryota; Metazoa; Chordata; Actinopteri; Cypriniformes; Cyprinidae
Exons: 3
Source: RefSeq, a predicted model, not a curated record